RNAcentral lists this ribosomal RNA (268 nucleotides) under uncultured bacterium. RNAcentral describes it as "partial 16S ribosomal RNA". It matches the Rfam family "Bacterial small subunit ribosomal RNA", at positions 793 to 1055 of the family's 1533-position model. The record is from RNAcentral.
GUCCUGGCCUUAAACGAUGGAUGCUUGGUGUCUGGGGUUUUAUAGUCCCGGGUGCCGUAGCUAACGCGUUAAGCAUCCCGCCUGGGGAGUACGGUCGCAAGACUGAAACUCAAAGGAAUUGACGGGGACCCGCACAAGCGGUGGAGCAUGUGGUUCAAUUCGACGCAACGCGAAGAACCUUACCAGGGCUAGAAUGCCUCUGACAACCCUAGAGAUAGGGCCUCUUAGGGAAACCUAGGCAGAGUGCAAGGUGCUGCAUGGCUGUCGU